Molecule: ribosomal RNA, 496 nt
Filed under: uncultured bacterium
Lineage: Bacteria
Description: partial 16S ribosomal RNA
Rfam family: Bacterial small subunit ribosomal RNA
Source: RNAcentral
AUGAACGCUGGCGGCGUGCCUAAUCCAUGCAAGUCGAGCGAACGGACGAGAAGCUUGCUUUUCUGAUGUUAGCGGCGGACGGGUGAGUAACACGUGGAUAACCUACCUAUAAGACUGGGAUAACUUCGGGAAACCGGAGCUAAUACCGGAUAAUAUUUUGAACCGCCUGGUUCAAAAGUGAAAGACGGUCUUGCUGUCACUUAUAGAUGGAUCCGCGCUGCAUUAGCUAGUUGGUAAGGUAACGGCUUACCAAGGCAACGAUGCAUAGCCGACCUGAGAGGGUGAUCGGCCACACUGGAACUGAGACACGGUCCAGACUCCUACGGGAGGCAGCAGUAGGGAAUCUUCCGCAAUGGGCGAAAGCCUGACGGAGCAACGCCGCGUGAGUGAUGAAGGUCUUCGGAUCGUAAAACUCUGUUAUUAGGGAAGAACAUAUGUGUAAGUAACUGUGCACAUCUUGACGGUACCUAAUCAGAAAGCCACGGCUAACUACGUG